Molecule: transfer RNA, 71 nt
Filed under: Phrynosoma platyrhinos (Desert horned lizard)
Lineage: Eukaryota; Metazoa; Chordata; Lepidosauria; Squamata; Phrynosomatidae
Description: tRNA-OTHER
Source: RNAcentral
ACCUGCAUGGCGUAGUGGUUGAGUGUUGGACUAAAACUUUGGAGAUCAAGGUUCGAAUCCCUGCUCAGCUA